This 2708-nucleotide long non-coding RNA is filed under the name Marmota monax (woodchuck). Lineage: Eukaryota; Metazoa; Chordata; Mammalia; Rodentia; Sciuridae. The record is from RNAcentral.
GCCAGGACCAAGUCGUCUGUGUUCUUGAAGCUGCAAAGAAGUGCUUCUCAAGCAAGCGAUGCCAAGGUGGGAGAUGCUCUGUUUUCAGCUCUGGGUUUAUGUUGGGAGUAAGGAAGUCUUUCCACUCCAGAGCGUGACCGUGGGGGCAGCUGACUGAGUGGUCCUGCCCACAGCCCAGGCACAGCUCAACCCAGCUGAGAAGCAAAUUCCCUUCCUGAGACUGGCUCGAAAAGUAGAACUUGAGUCAUGUUUAAGAGGAUUUACAGCUAUCACAGGUAGUUAAGAGACUGUUUCUAUCCAGGGAAAAUUGGAGGAGUAUCUAGUUGGCUGGAUCUAUCGGUUUAAAUAGAAAUUCACCUCUUUUUUUGAGUGUUAACUCCAACUUCAAUAAUGAACACAAGGAGAAAGGACCAAACCCAGUAGUAUAAGCAUCACUUAUGUUUGUCAUCCCAAACAAGUAAAUGUAACUUGAUAGGUCUCUAAUUGACACUGUGGGGAAAGACAUAAUAAUGAAAGUUUCUGAAAAGCAAGAGACUGUAAGCCAGCAUCUUCCAUAGCUUCCUCAUCCAGAGUAUGUGAAGGGCCAGAUCCUAGCUAGAAUACUACUCUAAGGGUUUUUUUAGGUGGGUUUUUUGAAGUUUUUAGAGAAUUUGUUUAUUUGCAAACUCAGAAAUCCCUUUCCCCUCUACUAGUAAGUGCAGAAAAUGUAAUCCCAAAUUUCUCCAGCUCAGGGCAGUUUGCCUACAAUGUUGGAAGGGAACUCUCCUUACCUUAGGUUUUCAAGGAAAUCCUGAUUUUUCUAGAUUUCCAUGUGGAACAAAUCUAGCUUUAGUUCAUAAAAGUAUUUUGCAAGUAAAGAGAUCCGUAUCCCUUAAUUUAAAAAAAAAUUGUGAUUUAACAUAUUACUAACCAAAAUCUUUAAACUUAAGUUUUCUUCCUUCCUCCCUUUCUCCCUCCCUCCAUCCUUCCUUCCUCCCUCCCUCCCCCACUUCCUUCCCCCCUACCUUGCAAACCUUCCAUGGAUUGAAGCCAGGGGCACUUAACCACUAAGCCACAUUCCCAACCUUUUUAUUUUUUAUUUUAAGAUGGGUCUCACUAAGUUGCUGAGGCUCACUCUGAACUUGCAUUCCUCCUGUCUCAGUGUCUCAGGCCACUGGGAUUACAGGCAUGAGCAACUGCACCCAAUUGAAUUGUACAUUUUUAAAUCACGUAUAUGUAAUUGUACAUUUUUAAAUCACAUAUAUGUUGGAAUGUAGAAAAAUUAACAUACUGUUGCAGUUCCUUGUGAAAUAGCUGGAAACUUGGAACCAAUCUCUGGAUAACUCUGUCCUAUGAGAAUAAACAGUGCAGAAGUUUGAUGUGUGGGUAAUAGGGGAAUGUGUGCACGGGUGUCCUCAUGUGGAAUUGGUGUCCAAGUGCAUCAGUGAUCAUUUUGAAUACUGGUAUUUGAUCUGUGUUGUAAAGGCAAUCAAAAUCAUAAGAAAGUUGUUGUGAUAUAAAAGUACUGAUGCUUGAAGUUGGGUUGGCACCAGAGAAAGAUAUUAGUUGAUCUACUUUGAAAUGAGACCUCCUUUCCCACCUUUUCCUAUUUUCUAGUUUGUUAAGCCCAAAGAAUAAAUUUACCCAAAAAGGUCCCUUAGUCAAAAUUUAAAAAGUUUAUUAUCCAUUGACUCAAUUACAUAAAGCCUGUUCUUCUUGAUUUAUAUAAUAUUUUAUUUAUGCCAUAUAGAAUGGGGAAUAUUAUUCUCUGAUUAUUUUAUGUGGCCAUGAGAAGGUGAAUUAGGAAUAUUCUAUGAAUGGAACAAAUUGGGGCUGCUCUUUGUGUUUGGAGUUAUAUUGAUUUUGGCCACAAGGUGAUGCUCUAAUCCAACAGCAGAGUUCAGGAUGAACUGGUGCCUUGUUCGGGGAAACACUAAAACAAGAUAGCAUACAUCUGCAUAUGGCACAGGAGUACAGUGCACCAUAACUUUUUCAGGCCCCUAGAGCUCUACUCCUCUAUAUGAAUAUGCCUACGGGAGUUAGACCACCUUCCUCCUCUCCUCAGGAGGCUGUAAGUUAGGAAUUCACUACAUGAACAUUCAUUUCUGAUGCCAUGAUAUGGAUGUUUGGACUCUUUCUUCCAAGGUAUUCUGAGAAAAGGGGAAAUUGCAGGGCUGCUAAAGAUAACAUUUUUAAUUUAAGACUUUAAAAAAAUUUUUUGGCCCCAUAUUGCUAUUCCUUUCUCCCUAUUUUCUUUUUAUGAAGAGUAAGUGCGCUACUAGGGGAUCCUAGAGUCCACCUUGACACUUCUUAAAACCAGAUGUAUACAGACAUUCUUGCCACCAAAAGGCCCUCUCAUAACGUUCCCCACAUGAGGAAUGCCCACAUGAGGUUGGAUAGCUGUCGGAAUGAUGCCCCAGGUCUUUAUUCUUAAGCUUUUUUAUUUCCCUCAGUUGAUCCCUGUAUCAUCUCUCCAGAACUCAAAAGGACCAUCAGCCAUUGUCCUCUAAGACCUAGAGCUGUGGCUCUUGACUUCAGUUGUGCAUCAGAGCACUUGAAAUUCAUGUUUCUCUCUGUAGAAGACCUAGAGUAACUGCUUGAUUAAAUCCUAUCUUGCAAAUUAAAACUGAUUUUUCCAGGUGGAAAUGCAUGCAAUUACACUAUAAUCACAAGUAUAUGUGCUGGAAAAACCGUAGAACUAGUAGUGUCUGUGAUUCCUACUAAUAAAC